Molecule: ribosomal RNA, 660 nt
Filed under: Streptomyces katrae
Lineage: Bacteria; Bacillati; Actinomycetota; Actinomycetes; Kitasatosporales; Streptomycetaceae
Description: bacterial SSU rRNA
Rfam family: Bacterial small subunit ribosomal RNA
Source: RNAcentral
GAACGGGUGAGUAACACGUGGGCAAUCUGCCCUUCACUCUGGGACAAGCCCUGGAAACGGGGUCUAAUACCGGAUACCACUGCGGGAGGCAUCUCCUGCGGUUGAAAGCUCCGGCGGUGAAGGAUGAGCCCGCGGCCUAUCAGCUUGUUGGUGGGGUAAUGGCCCACCAAGGCGACGACGGGUAGCCGGCCUGAGAGGGCGACCGGCCACACUGGGACUGAGACACGGCCCAGACUCCUACGGGAGGCAGCAGUGGGGAAUAUUGCACAAUGGGCGAAAGCCUGAUGCAGCGACGCCGCGUGAGGGAUGACGGCCUUCGGGUUGUAAACCUCUUUCAGCAGGGAAGAAGCGAAAGUGACGGUACCUGCAGAAGAAGCGCCGGCUAACUACGUGCCAGCAGCCGCGGUAAUACGUAGGGCGCAAGCGUUGUCCGGAAUUAUUGGGCGUAAAGAGCUCGUAGGCGGCUUGUCACGUCGGAUGUGAAAGCCCGAGGCUUAACCUCGGGUCUGCAUUCGAUACGGGCUAGCUAGAGUGUGGUAGGGGAGAUCGGAAUUCCUGGUGUAGCGGUGAAAUGCGCAGAUAUCAGGAGGAACACCGGUGGCGAAGGCGGAUCUCUGGGCCAUUACUGACGCUGAGGAGCGAAAGCGUGGGGAGCGAACA